This 223-nucleotide ribosomal RNA is filed under the name uncultured bacterium. Its description in RNAcentral is "partial 16S ribosomal RNA". It matches the Rfam family "Bacterial small subunit ribosomal RNA", at positions 111 to 334 of the family's 1533-position model. The record is from RNAcentral.
UAACGCGUGGGGAACCUGCCUUGAAGAGGGGGACAACAGUUGGAAACGACUGCUAAUACCGCAUGACGCAUAGAGGCCGCAUGAUCUUUAUGCCAAAGAUUUAUCGCUUCAAGAUGGCCUCGCGUCUGAUUAGCUAGUUGGCGGGGUAACGGCCCACCAAGGCGACGAUCAGUAGCCGGACUGAGAGGUUGAACGGCCACAUUGGGACUGAGAUACGGCCCAG